Molecule: ribosomal RNA, 494 nt
Filed under: uncultured bacterium
Lineage: Bacteria
Description: bacterial SSU rRNA
Rfam family: Bacterial small subunit ribosomal RNA
Source: RNAcentral
GAUGAACGCUAGCGGCAGGCCUAACACAUGCAAGUCGAGGGGCAUCAUGGCGUAGCAAUACGCUGAUGGCGACCGGCGCACGGGCGCGUAACGCGUAUGGAACCUACCCACCGCAGGGGGAUAACCCGCCGAAAGGCGGACUAAUACCCCAUGGUUCCCCGACCCUGCCUGGGGUUGGGGGUAAAGCCUACGGGCGGCGGUGGAUGGCCCUGCGUGCCAUUAGCUGGCUGGAGGGGUAACGGCCCGCCAAGGCGACGAUGGCUAGGGGGUCUGAGAGGACGAUCCCCCACACUGGUACUGAGACACGGACCAGACUCCUACGGGAGGCAGCAGUGAGGAAUAUUGGUCAAUGGGCGGAAGCCUGAACCAGCCAUGCCGCGUGCAGGAUGACGGCCCUACGGGUUGUAAACUGCUUUUCCCCGGGGGCGAAUAACCCCCUCGCGAGGGGGGACUGGCCGGUACCGGGGAACUAAGGGAUCGGCUAACGUCCGUAG